GCUUGGUGCCGAUUAUGAGUAAGUUCUUGCUCUGUUAGUUCCCUCAAGAGUUCUUUUGAGAGCUGGUUGUUAAAAAGAGUCUGACACCUUCUUCCUUUCUCUUGUUUCCUUUCUCGCCAUGUGAUCUCUGCCCACAUCAGCUCCUCUUCACCUUCCACCAUGAGUGGACCAACCUGAGACCAUCACCAGAAGCAGAUGCUGGCCUCUUGCUGCUUCUACAGCCUGUGGAACCGUGAGCCAAACGAACAAAAAACCUCUUUUUUUAAAUAAAUUAUCCUGCCUCAGAUAUUCCUUUAUAGCAAUACAAAAAUUGACAAUAUCUAACUAAAAUAAAUUGACAAAUUAAGAGAGGAUAAUUUAAGAAAGACGACAUGGGCCAUAAACCAAGGAUUAUAAUUAAAUUAAUUCAUUGCGCCGAUAUCUAUUGAUACACAUCUGUACAUUUUACAUACCCACAAAUAUUUGUAGUGAUUGAAUGGAUAGAUAUCUUCUGUCCCAUAGAGGUGGCUUUUCUCCCUUUAAAUUGAGGCUUUCUCAAUGAGACCCUGAGGCAGCUAUCUACAUGAAGAAUUGGAAGGCAUCCUCCCACACACAGACACUGUGAGUGCUCACACUUUACCAGCAACUGCAUUACUCAUGUCAUUUCUGACAGUUCAGAUACCUAAUGUAUGGAUGUGUCACUCACAGAAAGGUGUUCCACAGUGUGUAACAGCACCUAGGUACCAUCAUGCAAUUCAGAUGCAUCCCUGACCCAAGUCAUCAAAACUGCACACUGAAAGAAGGUAGAACAAUUGUUCAAACUGAGAUCAGAAAUACAGACCAAAAGAAAACUUAGAUCUCAUGUGAUUUAAAGCUGUAGUUUAGAAUGUUUACAAUCUCAGCUUUAAAGCCAAGAAUUCUGUGGAAAUGGGCAAUAUAAAGUGUCUCUAGUGUUGAGAUGGAUACAGAAAAUGUAAACGUUUUUAAGUAUGAGUUUGCUGCCAGUUUGCCAGGAUGGCUAAAUCUAGAAAAACCUGAAACUAGUGUGAUUGGAUUUGGGAAAAGGCAAGUAUUGCUAAGGCAACAAGGAGUGUACUCUCUUAAAUGAGAAAUCAAGGUGUAUUCUCACUGGAGGUUUGCCUUUGAUGUAUGAAUGUUACAUACCAGCAACCAGUUUGCUCAUAGCGGUUGAUAAUUUAAGGUGAUUUGCAGAAUGCACCUUGCUGUAUCAUGCAAAUGACACGACCUUCUCUGCCUGGGCUGCAAUGGAGUCAGGCUGGUGGAACUGAAACAAAUGCCUGAUAUUCAAGCAGCAUUUAAUCACACAUUUGGUUUGAUUUACUAAUGCUAUUGUCUUUCCAUUUUCUGUUAAGAAAUUAUUAGCAGGAAGUAACUCGGCCUGAACGCCACAAUAUGUUGGAUCAAUUUGAGAGACAAGAUAGAUCACUGGGAUUUCUUCCGUCAAAUGGAACCAUUAGACUUGCAUAUUAAAAAAGUAUAUACUUCUGUUUCGAGUGUAUAAGUGAUACAUUGCUUACCAUUAUGCAAAAGGCCACCCAAGACAACAAGAGGAGAGAUAUGAAUGGAUGGCAGGGAAGGUGAGAUAGAUACCAGUCAGUUGGGAGACUCAAGGACCUCGGACAAAGAGUCAGACCAAGUGGACCAGGGAGCUAAUAAAGAAGAAUUCUUCCGCCCAGCACGGUGGCUCACACCUGUAAUCCCAGCACUUUGGGAGGCUGAGACCGGCAGAUUACCUGAGGUCAAGAGUUCGAGACAAGUCUGGCCAAUAUGGAGAAACCCUGUCUCUACUAAAAAUACAAAAAUUAGCCGGGCGUGGUGGCGGGCGCUUGUAAUUCCAGCUACUUGGGAGGCUGAGGCAGGAGAAUUGCCUGAACCCCAGAAGUGGAGGUUGCAGUGAGCCAAGAUCACAUCACUGCACUCCAGCCUGGGUGACAAGAGUGAAACUCCGUCUCAAAAAAAAAAAAAAAAAAAAAUCUUCAUGAUGCUUUUUUGAUUUCUAGAAAGUUAAGAAAUAAAUGAUUUUUCUCUUAUGGGGAAGAUAAAAAGUGGAUGUGGAUUCUUUCCUACUCCUGCAACUGAGAAGUGGAAUCUAAUUUUAUCCCUGUGAGCCUAGGACACCCAUAGUAAGUUGCUGGAUCCACAGAAUGUGGCAAAAGUGAUGUUCUGGACUUCUACGCCUAAGUCAUCAAAACCUGCGCAACUCUGUCCAUGCCUCUUGGAAUGCUCAUCCUAGGAGAAGUCAACUGCCAUGUAAGAAAUCCUGAGAAUACCAUUCUUUAGAGAAGUUCAAGCUAGUCACGGGGAGAUACUAUAUACAGAGAGAGGGAUGACCUGCUAGUCCCAGUUGUGUCAGCCAUCCCAACUGAGGCAACAGACUUUUAAAUUAAAAAGCCAUCUUGGACAUUCCAGCCCAAGGAGACACAAUGUAGAGAAAAAUGAAGAUGAAUUGGACAAAACUAAGGUUCUUGACAUAUGAGUACCAUUGAGCUGGCCCAGAUAAAUUGAGAUACUUGAGUCAUCUUGGCUGAGGUUCCAGUCAUCACAGAGCAGGGAUGAGAUCAUCCUGCUCUACCUUUCUGAAUUGUGAGCAUAAUAAAAAUGAGUGUUUUACACCACUAAAUGUUGAGGUGGUUUGUUAUGCAGCAAUAGAUAAACAGAACAUUUUAGUUAAAGCCUUUGAUACGACUUCAUGAUUGAGUGCCCUUCAAAAUCAGAAUUGUUAGUCAUGGAAAUAACACAGCAAACUGCAGUUAUUCAGAGCUCUUGGGGAUUAAGUCAUCUUGGAUGAUAGAAUGAUGGCAUUUCAAAAGAUAGAGGUGAUUAAUCUUUUAAAUGUUGGUGAUAAUGUAUUUUAACUGUUUAA
This 2863-nucleotide long non-coding RNA is filed under the name Homo sapiens (human). RNAcentral describes it as "HSALNT0070111". Lineage: Eukaryota; Metazoa; Chordata; Mammalia; Primates; Hominidae. The record is from RNAcentral.